This 493-nucleotide ribosomal RNA is filed under the name Bacillus safensis. RNAcentral describes it as "bacterial SSU rRNA". It matches the Rfam family "Bacterial small subunit ribosomal RNA", at positions 70 to 548 of the family's 1533-position model. The record is from RNAcentral. Lineage: Bacteria; Bacillati; Bacillota; Bacilli; Caryophanales; Bacillaceae.
AGAAGGGAGCUUGCUCCCGGAUGUUAGCGGCGGACGGGUGAGUAACACGUGGGUAACCUGCCUGUAAGACUGGGAUAACUCCGGGAAACCGGAGCUAAUACCGGAUAGUUCCUUGAACCGCAUGGUUCAAGGAUGAAAGACGGUUUCGGCUGUCACUUACAGAUGGACCCGCGGCGCAUUAGCUAGUUGGUGGGGUAAUGGCUCACCAAGGCGACGAUGCGUAGCCGACCUGAGAGGGUGAUCGGCCACACUGGGACUGAGACACGGCCCAGACUCCUACGGGAGGCAGCAGUAGGGAAUCUUCCGCAAUGGACGAAAGUCUGACGGAGCAACGCCGCGUGAGUGAUGAAGGUUUUCGGAUCGUAAAGCUCUGUUGUUAGGGAAGAACAAGUGCGAGAGUAACUGCUCGCACCUUGACGGUACCUAACCAGAAAGCCACGGCUAACUACGUGCCAGCAGCCGCGGUAAUACGUAGGUGGCAAGCGUUGUCCGG